AUUGAACGCUGGCGGCAGGCCUAACACAUGCAAGUCGAGCGGAUGAAGGGAGCUUGCUCCUGGAUUCAGCGGCGGGCGGGUGAGUAAUGCCUAGGAAUCUGCCUGGUAGUGGGGGAUAACGUCCGGAAACGGGCGCUAAUACCGCAUACGUCCUGAGGGAGAAAGUGGGGGAUCUUCGGACCUCACGCGAUCAGAUGAGCCUAGGUCGGAUUAGCUAGUUGGUGGGGUAAAGGCCUACUAAGGCGACGAUCCGUAACUGGUCUGAGAGGAUGAUCAGUCACACUGGAACUGGGACACGGUCCAGACUCCUACGGGAGGCAGCAGUGGGCAAUAUUGGACAAUGGGCGAAAGCCUGAUCCAGCCAUGCGGCGUGUGUGAAGAAGGUCUUCGGAUUGUAAAGCACUUUAAGUUGGGAGGAAGGGCAGUAAGUUAAUACCUUGCUGUUUUGACGUUACCAACAGAAUAAGCACCGGCUAACUUCGUG
RNAcentral lists this ribosomal RNA (484 nucleotides) under uncultured bacterium. RNAcentral describes it as "partial 16S ribosomal RNA". It matches the Rfam family "Bacterial small subunit ribosomal RNA", at positions 30 to 507 of the family's 1533-position model. The record is from RNAcentral.